UAAGACAAAGUUGAAUGUUAUCAGAUUGAUAUAUAUUUACUAGAUCUUGUCUGGUCAUUCACCUCAGUCGAGUCAACCGAGUCAGUUGACUCGGUAGGAAUUUGAGGACUGAAAUCUUGCUCUUCAGUGACGCUGAGAAGGCGAAUGUGUCAAGUACCCAAUACAUGUAAUACAGAACUGUAGAAUUUGAAGUGUGGUGAAUGAUAAUACUAUACCACGCACAUUUUCAUUACCGCAUCAUCACAUCAUGUUGCCUUAUUGGAACUGGAUUACAUUUGGGCUACUGUAAAAUUGCAGUAAUUGUGUCACUGCUUAUAAUAUUUUAAUUUAUUGUUGGAACACUCCUCAAAAUACUGGGAAUAGCUUAUCUGAGCUUCAAGAAAUCCAAAAGUUUCUGGGGGAGCAUGCCCCCAGACCCCUCCAGACAGCUCGCACCUUCAGUUAAUUCAGAUUCUUCGCUAGCCUGCGCGCAGACUAUAUAAUGACAUAUUCUUCGCUUGUUAGUGAACGUACAAAAUUAUGGUCAUAAUUGAUUAAGGAUUAUCUUUUCAUCGUUCUAAUUAUUUCAUUAGAUUCGAUUCCACGAUGUUGACAUACGUGCGUCGAGGAAGUUAUUCCUUGGGAAUAAUCGUCAGUUGUGAAAUAUCAGAAGUUUCAGGGCUUGAGUGUGUUACUAUAUGUUUUAUAAAGUGCGAUCUCCUAGCCUGCAUUUUAGACGGCCACUCGUUGAGAUCUCCUGCCUCUAAGAUUAAAAUACCUGUAUUUUAUGUACUGUUUAAUAAACGAGCAGGAGUGUUUUAUUAGGUUUAAAGCCACGAGCGCGCAGCGCGAGUGGCU
Molecule: non-coding RNA, 837 nt
Organism: Paramuricea clavata
Lineage: Eukaryota; Metazoa; Cnidaria; Anthozoa; Malacalcyonacea; Plexauridae
Source: the annotation of a GenBank genome assembly